GGGAGCCAGCCCGGCCCUCCCGCCACACGGGACCCGAAACCGCUCAGUGCAGCAAGGCCAUGGCCACGUGGAGCCAGCAGAGCUGCUGUGCGCGGACCAGACAUUCUCCAAGACAUGGGGCUGCGUGAUUGGACCAGAGCCCUCAGUGCAGCUCAUCCGAAAUGGACUGAAGUUGGAUGAAUGUAGCCCCGGAAUGAGAAAACUGAGGCCCGUGGCGGUUGAACGGCCUCGCUGGGGUCCCCCUGCCGAGCACCAGUUGAGUGCAGGCGGCCUCGAGCUCAGAGUCCACGGAUGCAGGAGCUGCCCCAGUGCUGAGGAGCUGCCCCAAGGAGGAAGACCUGGGAGGAGUGCCAUCCGCGUGGGGGCGUGUGCCAGAUGCGGGCAAGGGAGGUGACACUGCCCUUGGCUGCAAGACCCAGCAUCCGAGUGAGGCCAGAGGGGAGACUCCAGGAGUAGGAAGAGGGGGGAGGCAGGACCAGGAGGCUCUGGGGGGAGGCUCAGCUGGGGGCUGGCGGGGGGGCGGGCAUUGGAGGGUGAGAGGCUGAGAAGUCGGCAUCAGGAAGCAUGUUUCAGCCAGUGACUCUCAGGUGUGGUGCUGGGACCAGCAGCAUCCCGUCACCUGGAGCUUGUCAGAAAUGCAGUCUGUGGACCCAAGACCCAAGCGCUGCAGGUGGUUCUGCCGCAGGCUCAGCUUCAGAGCCUCCUCUGUGUUAGGGGAAAUAAAGAGCCGGGGAGAGGGUGACGUUUGGCAGGUCUGGGACUGGAGAGGUGGGUGCAGGUUACAGUGGCAGAGCCUGCUGAUUGUCUGUCCAGCUGUCGCCUGCCUUCUCUUGGGGUUAGAAUUCCGUUCCUGUUUGAGCACCAGUGUGCUGAGGGGGUGGUGAGUGCAUCCUGCCUGAACUCAUCCAGUGUCUCCUGUUGCUGGUUAGGGAUCUAAACAGGAAAUCAGCUGGGGCUUCUGGGGGAAAUUAUGCGGAUUUGUAGUGGGUUGAAUGGUGGCCUUUAGAGAGAGAUGUUCACAUCCCAACCCCCAGAACCUGUAAGUGUGACCCUGUUUGGGAAGAAAAGGCUCUUGUCUCUGCAGAUGUAAUCAAGUUAGUGAUCUUGAGAUGAGAUCACUCUGGGUGUUCCAGGCUGGCUCCCAGUCCAAUGCCAAGUGUCCUUAUAAGAGACAGAAGAGGAGAGACAGACACAGAGGAGCCCCAUGAUGCUGAGCCCCUGACCCGGGGAGGCAGCCACAGCCCAGGCAUGCCGGGGAGGCCGGAGAGGUGAGCAGAGCCCCUCCCGUACAGCCUGCGGAAGAGCCCUGCGCCGCCCGCACCCGGUUCAGAGAGCCAGCCUCCAGACCAUGCGGGAGUCGGUGUCUGGUGUCUGUGCUGACCUGUUGCAGCCCUGGGACUCUCAGGCCGCCUGCCUGUGAACCUUCCUUCCUUCCGGUGCAGCACCGCCAUCCUAAACCAUGCCGUCAUUACUCCCUGCGUACUUGUGUGCGGCCUGUGUUCCCACUGGACUGUGAGCACUGGGAGGGCACAGCCGGGCUCUGGAUCUGGUGCCUCGUAGGCGCUUAGCAAAGUUUUGGUAAGCGAAUGCCCAGAAGAAGAUGACUUAAGAGAUUCACACCCAUUUUCUGCCUUCAGGUCAAUAUUUUGUGUUUUGUACUGUGCACACCAACAAAGUUAUAGGAUUGGCAUUCCCGUGGUGGCUCAGUGGGUUAUGACCUGACUAGUAUGCGUGAAGAUGUAGGUUCGAUCCCUGGCCUCGCUCUGUGGGUUAAGGAUCUGGUGUUGCUGUGAGCUGUGGUGUAGAUUGCAGAUGCGGCUUGAAUCUGGUGCUGAUGUGGCUGUGGUGUAGGCCGCCAGCUGCACUUCCAAUUUGACCCCUAGCUGGGGAACCUCCAUAUGCAAAGUUGUAGGAUAGAUGGAAGGUCAGCCAGUACAGCAGUGGGUGCCCAGUGCAUGUUGAAUGAAACCAUAUGGACUUGAGGUUGAAACACAUGUCGUUUCUUCACAGCUAAGGCCAUCAGGUAAAAUGGGGCAGACCUGGGUAAAGGGCUCACUGACCUAAAGCAAGGUGCCUUAGCCUCGUUACCGGUCACAGUGGGAACAGGAUAAUUCUUUGUUGGGGUGGGAGCUGUCCUCUCUAUACUUUGUGGGGUGUUUAGCAGCAUCCAGGUCCCUCCCCGCCAGAUGCCGGGGCACAGUCCUCACCCCCCAAGACAGGCGUGACAACCAAAAAUGUCCCCAGACAUGGCCAAAUGUCCCUGGGAGGCGAGUACCAUCACUCUCGGUUGAAGCCUCUGACCUGAGGAAUCCACGAAUAGACAAGUGAGCUUGGCCUCCCCUGAAAUCAGCGGACAGGAACACCCUCCAUGCCGUACCUGCUGACAGAAGUCCACUCGCUGCAGUCAGAACUGGAGCACAGUGAGAGGCUGCCAGGGACACACGUCGCGUCAGCUCACAGAGAAGCUGGGAAGGCCGGGGUGUGGGCCGCAGGCUGCCUGGGGGGAAGGAGAAACGCUGUGUGGGCUGGUUCCACAGGCAGAACAGACGAGGGGGCAAAGGUGCUCGCCCUUAUUGCCGGUAACCCGGUGGGACAGCCCCGACGAGUAACCUGGGAAUCAGCAUUGCAAGUCGGCAGAGCAGCAAGUGGCGUACAGGGUGCCAGCAAGUGCAGGGGUCUGCGUAUGACUCCUCACAGGGUGCUGCUUCCGCCUAAGCCUGGACCUGACCACAGGCCAAGGGCUUCAUCCCGGGCAGGUGGUGCAGAGAAGCUGGGAGAAGCUCUAGAGCUGCAGUGGCGAUGCUGAGGAGGAGGCCCUGGUCCGUCGCUUAUGGCACACCUGCUGUGGGCACUGGGUUAUCCAGGUCAAGGUCCCCAGAGAGUAACAGUCAUCAUGCCCGGCCCCCGUCUCCAGUUUCGAAAAAAGCAUAAAUGGGAGAACUGCAAAGAGACAUAACAGGUGACUUUGAAAGACCCCCUCCCCUUAGCCCUUAAUGGAGAAACCAGGUCAAAAUUAAUAAAGGCCACAGGAUGAGGUAAGGCCUUAAAUGAAGUGUGGUUAGUAUAACAAACACCCAUGUCUUACUGCUCAGCUUUAGGAGGUGGCAUGGUGGUUCUGUAUUUACAGCAGACCUUUUAGAUUUAGUGACUUAAAUAAUACCAAGACAUUUCAAGUACCAUUUCUGUUCUUCUCCUUCCCUCCCCAGCGGAAACUGAUUUUUUUUCUAUAUCCACAGCAUGUGGAAGUUCCUGGGCCAGGGAUCAAACCCAAGCCAGAGCAGCCACCCGAGCCAUAGCAGUAACAAGGCCAGAUCUUUAACCUGCUGUGCCGCAAGGGAACUCUGAAAGCCAGAUUCUUAAAAGUGUGAAUAUCCUUCUCUUUUGUACUGUUGAUAAUAUAUGGGCAUCCAAAAAUCAUAUAUAGUAUUGUUUCCUGUGUUAUUUAUAUGCCAAUUGUAUUAAAAUAGACAUGUUCUUGUUCUGUUUCUUCUCCCUCCCCCUCAUAUUUUGUUUCUGAGAACUUUCCAGGUUGACAGGGGAGAUCUUACUCUUAUCGCUUCAGCUGCCACAGAUUGAUCUAUCGCAUAAGUUACCUUAUCCAGUCCCCUGUUAGACCAUUUAGGUCAUUUUCAAUUCGUUAACCAAAAUAGUGCUGCAGUGAACAUGCUGGCAUCUCUCUCCUUGUGUGAGAGAGCUUCUCCAGGGGUGCAGAUAGAGGUGUGGUGGUGUGGGAUUCUACGCUAUCAAUGUUUUCAACUUAACUAGAUAUUAACAAAUCACUUUCCAAAGUGGCUGAAACAGUUUACAGCGUCAUUAGCAGGGCAUACAUUGCUGCUUGCCAGAGUCUUAUUUUCUCAGAUCUUCAAGGAACUGAUUAUCCCUACACUAUUUCAGCAAUUCCAGGGCAUCAAGAAAGACAGAAAUCACUUGACUAUUUUAUGAAGCCCUGCAUAACCUGGAAGCCACAGCUGGCAUAGAUUAUCGCAGGAAAGGUACUUCAAGGUCUCUGCCAAAGUUUGAACCAAGAGAUAGCAAAUAAAGCAAACAACAUACCAUGAUAAUCUGCACAAUCCAGGAACUGUUCCUUUUGGGAAACUUUUAAAAAUACUUCAGCCAAAUUAAUAGGACAAGGGAAAACAUCAUGCAGCCAUUUCUUACAAGCCAUAAAGAUAUUUCAUGAAAUUUAGUAUCCACUUCUGAUCCUUGAAAUGGAAGUGGUGGACACCUCCUUAUAAAGACAACACACAUUUCAAUCCAAAAAUUACCAUCAGAAUUUAUUGUAAAAAUGCCACAAGCAUUCCAUUAGAGCCACAGAGUUAGGAGUGUCUUUUAUCCCUGCUCUUGUGUAACAUAGUUCCAAAAGUGAUCAAGCAAUUAGACAAGAAGAUGAAAACAGUCAUGGACACUGGGAGACAAAAACGAUCAUAAUUUGUAGAAAACAAGGCUGUGUUGUUGGAGAAGCUCAGCAUAAAAAGUGGGCACUGUGGGAUCAGGGCUUUGCCUCCUUCAGCCCUGAG
Molecule: long non-coding RNA, 4517 nt
Filed under: Sus scrofa (pig)
Lineage: Eukaryota; Metazoa; Chordata; Mammalia; Artiodactyla; Suidae
Description: lncRNA (ENSSSCG00060026212.1)
Source: RNAcentral